UACGUAGGGUGCAAGCGUUAAUCGGAAUUACUGGGCGUAAAGCGUACGCAGGCGGCUAUGUAAGACAGGUGUGAAAUCCCCGGGCCUAACCUGGGAACUGCAUUUGUGACUGCAUAGCUAGAGUCCGUCAGAGGGGGGUGGAAUUCCACGUGUAGCAGUGAAAUGCGUAGAGAUGUGGAGGAACACCGAUGGCGAAGGCAGCCCCCUGGGCCAACACUGACGCUCAUGCACGAAAGCGUGGGGAGCAAACAGG
RNAcentral lists this ribosomal RNA (253 nucleotides) under uncultured bacterium. RNAcentral's name for it is "partial 16S ribosomal RNA". It matches the Rfam family "Bacterial small subunit ribosomal RNA", at positions 524 to 776 of the family's 1533-position model. The record is from RNAcentral.